This 362-nucleotide long non-coding RNA is filed under the name Pan troglodytes (chimpanzee). Its description in RNAcentral is "lincRNA". Lineage: Eukaryota; Metazoa; Chordata; Mammalia; Primates; Hominidae. The record is from RNAcentral.
CGUGUCUGCGUCGGGUUCUGUUGGAGUGCGUUCGGUGCGCCGUGGGUCCGCGCUGCUUCCACCCAACUUCCUGUUAGGUUACAUUAGUUAUAAUAUACACUCUGGAGGUGACUUGACUUGUCAUUGUGAACAACUAUUGCUCUUGGACGACCCAGGACAUAGGCCAGCCAGUACGUACCCCAGUGUGUUGGAGAAUCGCACUCGGCUUCUUCCUCUGUGCUGAGUCAUGAAAGUUGCCGGAGCAGGUGCAGUUACACAACCUCCAGGUAUGAUCCUGUUUAAGGACUGGAUUUAGGAUAACUACUUAGAGGUUAAAAGUCACAAGGGUGUAUGGAUGAGGCUGGAGUGAUCUGGGACCAAAG